CGCGUAGGUGGCCGAGCAAGGUCGCGGUGAAAGCCCGGGGCUCAACCCCGGGUCGGCCGUGGCAACUACUCGGCUUGAGCACUGUAGGGGCGGGUGGAAUUCCGGGUGUAGCGGUGGAAUGCGUAGAGAUCCGGAAGAACACCAGUGGCGAAGGCGGCCCGCUGGGCAGGAAGGUGGAGCAAUCCACCGGCUGACACUGAGGCGCGACAGCGUGGGGAGCAAACA
RNAcentral lists this ribosomal RNA (225 nucleotides) under uncultured bacterium. RNAcentral describes it as "partial 16S ribosomal RNA". It matches the Rfam family "Bacterial small subunit ribosomal RNA", at positions 568 to 774 of the family's 1533-position model. The record is from RNAcentral.